This 253-nucleotide ribosomal RNA is filed under the name uncultured bacterium. RNAcentral describes it as "partial 16S ribosomal RNA". It matches the Rfam family "Bacterial small subunit ribosomal RNA", at positions 524 to 776 of the family's 1533-position model. The record is from RNAcentral.
UACGUAGGGCGCAAGCGUUGUCCGGAAUUAUUGGGCGUAAAGAGCUCGUAGGCGGUCUGUCGCGUCUGCCGUGAAAUCCCGAGGCUUAACCUCGGGCCUGCAGUGGGUACGGGCAGACUAGAGUGCGGUAGGGGAGACUGGAAUUCCUGGUGUAGCGGUGAAAUGCGCAGAUAUCAGGAGGAACACCGGUGGCGAAGGCGGGUCUCUGGGCCGUAACUGACGCUGAGGAGCGAAAGCAUGGGGAGCGAACAGG